UCUGGGCAUGGUGGCGCAUGCCUAUAAUCCUAGCUAGUUGGGAGGCUGAAGCAGGAGGACCUUCAGUCUAAGGUUGACCUUGGCAAUGUAAGGAGACCCUGUCUCAA
RNAcentral lists this small RNA (107 nucleotides) under Marmota monax (woodchuck). The record is from RNAcentral. Lineage: Eukaryota; Metazoa; Chordata; Mammalia; Rodentia; Sciuridae.